RNAcentral lists this ribosomal RNA (635 nucleotides) under uncultured bacterium. RNAcentral describes it as "bacterial SSU rRNA". It matches the Rfam family "Bacterial small subunit ribosomal RNA", at positions 8 to 694 of the family's 1533-position model. The record is from RNAcentral.
AGAGUUUGAUCCUGGCUCAGAACGAACGCUGGCGGCAGGCCUAACACAUGCAAGUCGAGCGCCCGCAAGGGAGCGGCAGACGGGUGAGUAACGCGUGGGAACGUGCCCUUUGGUUCGGAAUAUUCCCGGGAAACUGGGAGCAAAACCGGAUAAGCCCUUCGGGGGAAAGUUUACGCCAAGGGAUCGGCCCGCGUUAGAUUAGGUAGUUGGUGGGGUAACGGCCUACCAAGCCUACGAUCUAUAGCUGAUCUGAGAGGAUGAUCAGCCACACUGGGACUGAGACACGGCCCAGACUCCUACGGGAGGCAGCAGUGGGGAAUCUUGGACAAUGGGCGCAAGCCUGAUCCAGCCAUGCCGCGUGGAUGACUGAAGGCCCUAGGGUUGUAAAGUCCUUUCGACGGGGACGAUAAUGACGGUACCCGUAGAAGAAGCCCCGGCUAACUUCGUGCCAGCAGCCGCGGUAAUACGAAGGGGGCUAGCGUUGUUCGGAUUUACUGGGCGUAAAGGGCGCGUAGGCGGAUUUUUAAGUCGGGGGUGAAAUCCCGGAGCUCAACUCCGGAACUGCCUUCGAUACUGGAAGUCUGGAGCACGGUAGAGGUGAGUGGAAUUCCGAGUGUAGCGGUGAAAUGCGUAGA